UGGGGAAUAUUGCACAAUGGGCGCAAGCCUGAUGCAGCCAUGCCGCGUGUAUGAAGAAGGCCUUCGGGUUGUAAAGUACUUUCAGCGGGGAGGAAGGCGAUAAGGUUAAUAACCUUGUCGAUUGACGUUACCCGCAGAAGAAGCACCGGCUAACUCCGUGCCAGCAGCUGCGGUAAUACGGAGGGUGCAAGCGUUAAUCGGAAUUACUGGGCGUAAAGCGCACGCAGGCGGUCUGUCAAGUCGGAUGUGAAAUCCCCGGGCUCAACCUGGGAACUGCAUUCGAAACUGGCAGGCUAGAGUCUUGUAGAGGGGGGUAGAAUUCCAGGUGUAGCGGUGAAACGCGUAGAGAUCUGGAGGAAUACCGGUGGCGAAGGCGGCCCCCUGGACAAAGACUGACGCUCAGGUGCGAAAGCGUGGGGAGCAAACA
RNAcentral lists this ribosomal RNA (427 nucleotides) under uncultured bacterium. Its description in RNAcentral is "partial 16S ribosomal RNA". It matches the Rfam family "Bacterial small subunit ribosomal RNA", at positions 355 to 774 of the family's 1533-position model. The record is from RNAcentral.